This is a long non-coding RNA of Benincasa hispida (wax gourd), 1130 nucleotides long. RefSeq lists it as uncharacterized. The record is from RefSeq and is a predicted model, not a curated record. NCBI's taxonomy places the organism in Eukaryota, Viridiplantae, Streptophyta, Magnoliopsida, Cucurbitales, Cucurbitaceae.
CAAGAUAUAGGUAUUCAUUGAUGGUCUUUGACCAUCAAGGAAAACCAAAAAAGACUUUGUUUUGAGCUUUUAUUUUUUCUUUCUUUUCCUGUUUUGAAGAUCAACCAUAAGUCCUCCCCAUCGAAGUCCUACCUCUUUCAGUCGUCAGUCAUGUUCUUUUUCAUCACAGUCAAUGUACCAUCUUCUUCUCCACAAUCGGUCGAACGAUUUCAAUAACUACUGUCGCACCACCGUUGUCUUUUCAAUCAGAUGCUACCGUGUUCUUCUUCCAAUGCCUCGCGUUAUAGUAUUAAGGCUAAUUUGGAAUGAAUUAUUUCUUUAAAUCUUUUUUGGUCCGUUAAAUUUAAAUUUAAUAGGACUCCUUACGUGCCAAUUCUAAUUAAGAGAAUUAGAAUUUCAGUUAUGACAUCCCAAAUUUUUACAUUAUUUUCAUAAAAUUAUUUAGAAUUAUUUGGGUGCUAUUUCAUUAAUUUGAGGCUAAAAUCUAAUGUAGGAGGUAAGAUAAUUAAUUUAGGUGAUAUUUGAAGGGAUUUGAAAUUUUUUUACUUCAGUUUAAAAUAGUUGGAUAAUUUAUUUUGGAAAAUUAAUUUGUGAUUUGAAAUAAAAGAUUUGAGAAUUUGGAAAGUCGAUGAGCUCCAUCGUCGUCCGUCACAACCGUCCGGCCGGUAGGUGAUUGCUGUCGGUCUGUCUCUCUUUUCCCACUAUCUCUCGUCAUUUUCGUCUCGCACGUACAGUCGCUGUGCGCGGCGCCUUGUAAUCGCACGUCCGGCGCCCAGCCUAUCACUGGUCGUUGUAGCUUCGUUCGCCGCCAUGGGUUAUCGCCGCCAGCAGUAGAUGUCACCGGAAUUUUAAAAUUUGGAUUGGAGGUUUGGAGGAAUUUUGAGGUUUAAAGUAAGCUGCCCAGCGACCUGGAAGGUUAUUAUUGGUGGUUUAAGGUAUUUCGGGGUUUAUAUUCAAUAAAGAAGUAGAGAAAUAAUCAAGUAUAUUGUGGAUAUUAUGUAAUUAUAGAAUUGUAUUUUGUAGGUAUAUUUUGGAGUUUACGUUUUGCAGAUAUAAUGUUAUUGUAAUUAACUUUGUGAAACUAAAUUGUACGUUAUGUAAGAAAAUUAAUUAAAAGUAAAAGUUGUUGA